RNAcentral lists this ribosomal RNA (613 nucleotides) under uncultured bacterium. RNAcentral's name for it is "bacterial SSU rRNA". The stretch from base 1 to 524 matches the Rfam family "Bacterial small subunit ribosomal RNA", at positions 338 to 873 of the family's 1533-position model. The record is from RNAcentral.
CCUACGGGAGGCAGCAGUGGGGAAUAUUGGGCAAUGGAGGAAACUCUGACCCAGCGACGCCGCGUGCGGGAUGAAGGCCUUCGGGUUGUAAACCGCUUUCAGUAGGGAAGAAGCGAAAGUGACGGUACCUACGGAAGAAGCACCGGCUAACUAUGUGCCAGCAGCCGCGGUAAUACAUAGGGUGCAAGCGUUGUCCGGAAUUAUUGGGCGUAAAGAGCUCGUAGGUGGUUCGUCACGUCGGAUGUGAAAAUCUGGGGCUCAACCCCAGACCUGCAUUCGAUACGGGCGAUCUAGAGUGUGGUAGGGGAGACUGGAAUUCCUGGUGUAGCGGUGGAAUGCGCAGAUAUCAGGAGGAACACCAAUGGCGAAGGCAGGUCUCUGGGCCAUUACUGACACUGAGGAGCGAAAGCGUGGGGAGCGAACAGGAUUAGAUACCCUGGUAGUCCACGCCGUAAACGGUGGGCACUAGUUGUGGGAACCUUCCACGGUUUCUGCGACGCAGCUAACGCAUUAAGUGCCCCGCCUGGGGGAGGUACGAGUCGCGAGAGUUAAACGUACGAAGUAAGUAGUACGCGUUGAGACGUUGCCGACGGCGACGACGAGGGAGGUUAGG